CCCUUAGAUGUUCUGGGCCGCACGCGCGCUACACUGAUGCAUUCAACGAGCCUAUCCUUGACCGACAGGUCCGGGUAAUCUUUGAAUCUGCAUCGUGACGGGGAUAGAUUAUUGCAAUUAUUAAUCUUCAACGAGGAAUGCCUAGUAAGCACAAGUCAUCAGCUUGUGCUGAUUACGUCCCUGCCCUUUGUACACACCGCCCGUCGCUCCUACCGAUUGAAUGUUCCGGUGAGCUCUUCGGACUGCGCGGUCUGCAGUUUCUGCGUUCCGUGCGGAAAGUUGCGCAAACCUUAACAUUUAGAGGAAGGAGAAGUCGUAACA
RNAcentral lists this ribosomal RNA (321 nucleotides) under uncultured eukaryote. RNAcentral describes it as "partial 18S ribosomal RNA". It matches the Rfam family "Eukaryotic small subunit ribosomal RNA", at positions 1470 to 1796 of the family's 1831-position model. The record is from RNAcentral.